CUUAGGCGUGUGACUGCGUACCUUUUGUAUAAUGGGUCAGCGACUUAUAUUCUGUAGCAAGGUUAACCGAAUAGGGGAGCCGAAGGGAAACCGAGUCUUAACUGGGCGUUAAGUUGCAGGGUAUAGACCCGAAACCCGGUGAUCUAGCCAUGGGCAGGUUGAAGGUUGGGUAACACUAACUGGAGGACCGAACCGACUAAUGUUGAAAAAUUAGCGGAUGACUUGUGGCUGGGGGUGAAAGGCCAAUCAAACCGGGAGAUAGCUGGUUCUCCCCGAAAGCUAUUUAGGUAGCGCCUCGUGAAUUCAUCUCCGGGGGUAGAGCACUGUUUCGGCAAGGGGGUCAUCCCGACUUACCAACCCGAUGCAAACUGCGAAUACCGGAGAAUGUUAUCACGGGAGACACACGGCGGGUGCUAACGUCCGUCGUGAAGAGGGAAACAACCCAGACCGCCAGCUAAGGUCCCAAAGUCAUGGUUAAGUGGGAAACGAUGUGGGAAGGCCCAGACAGCCAGGAUGUUGGCUUAGAAGCAGCCAUCAUUUAAAGAAAGCGUAAUAGCUCACUGGUCGAGUCGGCCUGCGCGGAAGAUGUAACGGGGCUAAACCAUGCACCGAAGCUGCGGCAGCGACGCUGAUGCGUUGUUGGGUAGGGGAGCG
This 654-nucleotide ribosomal RNA is filed under the name Escherichia coli. Its description in RNAcentral is "partial 23S ribosomal RNA". It matches the Rfam family "Bacterial large subunit ribosomal RNA", at positions 584 to 1238 of the family's 2925-position model. Lineage: Bacteria; Pseudomonadati; Pseudomonadota; Gammaproteobacteria; Enterobacterales; Enterobacteriaceae. The record is from RNAcentral.